UACGGAGGGGGCUAGCGUUAUUCGGAAUUAUUGGGCGUAAAGGGCGCGUAGGCGGCCCGGUAAGUCAAAGGUGAAAUCCCUCGGCUCAACUGAGGAACUGCCUUUGAAACUGUCGGGCUUGAGGCCGGGAGGGGGUAGCGGAAUUCCCAGUGUAGCGGUGAAAUGCGCAGAUAUCGGGAGGAACACCAAUGGCGAAGGCAGCUCGCUGGGACGGUACUGACGCUGAGACGCGAAAGCGUGGGGAGCAAACAGG
RNAcentral lists this ribosomal RNA (253 nucleotides) under uncultured bacterium. RNAcentral's name for it is "partial 16S ribosomal RNA". It matches the Rfam family "Bacterial small subunit ribosomal RNA", at positions 524 to 776 of the family's 1533-position model. The record is from RNAcentral.